UGGGGUUGUAGAUCAGUGGUAGUGCGCCUGUCUAGCAUGUGGGAGGCACUGGGUUCGAUCCUCAGCAGUAA
Molecule: transfer RNA, 71 nt
Filed under: Marmota monax (woodchuck)
Lineage: Eukaryota; Metazoa; Chordata; Mammalia; Rodentia; Sciuridae
Description: tRNA.Ala
Source: RNAcentral